GAGGAAGCCAGCCUUGCAUCUUUCAGCCAUUGUCGUUGAGGUAUGAGCUCUACCCAUCGUAUUUAAGUUGCAUUUCUUGCACUGUCUUUCAUCUGACUAUACUUUCAUAACUGCUUUAUCUGAUUCAUCUCUAACUAAUAUGUUUGUGUCUUUUCUUUUCCACAAUGUGAGUCUCGCGCCUUCAGGGGCUACGGUGCUACGACUGUACUGGACUAUAGUAUGACGAGCUCCCUGCAGGAGUACGCCACAUCGUCAACAGGGCUGGCUUCAGCCUUUUCUACUCUAGCCUGACGAGAGUUAUAGCUAGCCGUCCUCUUCUGGGGGCUCUUAUGGAGAGAUGGUUGGACACCACCAACUCUCUCCACUUCUCCACAGUUGGGGAGCUAAUGAUGACUCCCUAUAACUUUUCCAUGAUCACUGGCUUAGGUGUAGGGGGCAAUCCGAUCCCUCUUGAUACAGACAUGGGAGAGUGGGAGGCAGCUUGGGUCGAGCUAUUAAGGAUGCGCCCACCUUUGUACCAGCCAGACAUGGUUAAAUAUAGUUGGUUCAUGAAGCAGUUCCGGGGGACUAAGCCAGAGACAAUUGAGGAGACAGAGCAGUACGCCAGGGGUUUUCUGAUGUUCCUCCUCGGUACCACCUUGUUUGUGAACAGGGAAAACACCAUAGGAUUAUACCUACUGAGCAUAUUUGUGACCCUUUCCCGGGUGAGUUCCUAUGAUUGGGGUGGAGCAGGCCUCACCACUCUAUACGACUAUAUGAGUUCGACCUCCCGCCUGAGGGGAGACUUGAUCGGAGGCUACUGGCGAGCCUAUGAGCUAUGGUUAUAUGCUUAUUUUCUGACUCUGGCCCUAGUGCUUGUAGUGGAGCUUCCAUUGACAGUCCCUUAGUCACGGAGAUAUGACGGUCGGCUCCACCGUAGGACCCGCAAGCCCUUCUCAUUCUUCAGGCACUACUUUGACACGGUAGCUACUCAUGAGAUCAUGUGACAGCCAUGGGCCACAAUGCUGACAGGGAUUCAGGGCCAGUAUAAUGUGGCAUGGGGCAUUUCUUGUUGUCGCAUUCUACUCAAGGGCCCAGUUUGCCGAGCUUGGUUCCUGGGCGAGCGAGUCAUGCGUCAGACCAUGGGCUUGCCUACUCCGAUCAUACCGGUGGCACCACCAGAGUCCAUGAGAUCAGCAGACAACCUAUCUGCUAAUGAGGUCAUUCAGUUCAUGGUAGGCUUGGAGGCAGACUACUUCCGAGUUGAGGGCGAUUAUACAGUCUUCAUUCAGACAUACCUUAUGCCAUCUUUGACCGGUGUUCGUAGGGGUGAGGGAAUGAGAGCUCCUGCUGCGAGGGUGGCGCCUAAAACGACUUGGGCGACCAGGGCCCGUGGGAGAGGGGUUUCUCGAGCGAGGGAGAUGACUGGUUGGCCAGAGCUUCCCACUACACUUACAUGUUGGCAGCAUAUCGAGAAGGCUUACCAGAUCCCUAUUGAGCCUGCACCGGCCGGGCAUGAGCUUGCCGGGGUUCGAGGCCCAACUCCAGCAUGUACCACAAUUUACGUUUUGCAUGCCUUAUUUCAUUUCAGUUAUGUUUAUAGCACACUGAUCACCUCAACACACUUGCAAGCAUCUAUAGAGUACACCUGGGAUGCUCUCGAGCUGGCGGCUUCCCUGAUGGGGAUGGUGUAAAGAAACAUGAGCCUGCUCAGUCUCUACGAUAUUCAGAUAUACCGGGUGCACCAGCGGGAGUAGCACCAAGACCAGUAGUACCUCCUCCAACAGUAGGGCGGAGAGGGAGACGGGCUCUAGUACGCAGCCGAGGCAGAGCCAGAGGCACCUAAGAUGAGAGUGGUCCUUUAGAGCCCAUUCUGAGCAAUGACGACGCCGAGACGAAUGGCUCCGAUAAGGCAGUGAGUCCAUAGUCUGAGUCCUCUGAGAGUGGAGAUGACGGCGACUCUAGAUCUGAGAGUGGAUGUGAUGCUGAGCUGGGUUCUGAAGCA
Non-coding RNA from Camellia sinensis, 1984 nucleotides. The record is from RefSeq and is a predicted model, not a curated record. Lineage: Eukaryota; Viridiplantae; Streptophyta; Magnoliopsida; Ericales; Theaceae.